AUUCCUUUAGUNUUAAUAAGUACAGUUGACUUCCAAUCAACCAGCUUCGGUAUAGCCCGAAAAGGAAUA
This 69-nucleotide transfer RNA is filed under the name Prionailurus planiceps (flat-headed cat). RNAcentral describes it as "tRNA-Gly". The record is from RNAcentral. Lineage: Eukaryota; Metazoa; Chordata; Mammalia; Carnivora; Felidae.